This 1523-nucleotide ribosomal RNA is filed under the name human metagenome. RNAcentral's name for it is "bacterial LSU rRNA". It matches the Rfam family "Bacterial large subunit ribosomal RNA", at positions 1399 to 2925 of the family's 2925-position model. The record is from RNAcentral.
AGGCCGAGAGGCGUAGCCGAUGGACAACAGGUUGAUAUUCCUGUACUACCUAUAAGACUGAUGGAGUGACGGAGAAGGUUAGGAAAAGCCAGUUAUUGGAUUCUGGUCUAAGCACAAAGGCUUAUAAAUUAGGAAAUCUGUUUAUAAUUAAGCUGAAGUGUGAUGGUGAAGUCGCUUGCGACGAAAUUUUCUGACACCAUGCUUCCAAGAAAAGCUUCUAGGGUUAAUCUUAUAGGUACCCGUACUCAGAACCGACACAGGUGGUCAAGGAGAGUAUCCUAAGGUGAGCGAGAGAACUAUGGUUAAGGAACUCGGCAAAAUAACCCCGUAACUUCGGGAGAAGGGGUGGUCACUAGAUGACCGACACUAAAGACGCCCAGGCAACUGUUUACCAAAAACACAGGUCUCUGCUAAGUCGUAAGACGAUGUAUAGGGGCUGACACCUGCCCAGUGCUGGAAGGUUAAGAGGAGUGCUUAGAAUAGACGUAAGUCAAUGAUUCGAAGGUACGAAUUGAAGCCCCAGUGAACGGCGGCCGUAACUAUAACGGUCCUAAGGUAGCGAAAUUCCUUGUCAGGUAAGUUCUGACCCGCACGAAAGGUGUAAUGAUCUGGGCACUGUCUCAACCGUGGACUCGGUGAAAUCUUAAUACCUGUGAAAAUGCAGGUUACCCGCAUCAGGACGGAAAGACCCCAUGGAGCUUUACUGUAGCUUGAUAUUGAAGUUCGGUGUAUUAUGUAGAGGAUAGGUGGGAGACUAUGAGACUAAGACGCCAGUCUUAGAGGAGUCAACCUUGGAAUACCACCCUUAAUACAUUGAAUUUCUAACCUGGAAUCAUGAUCUGGUUCAGGGACAGUGUCUGGUGGGCAGUUUGACUGGGGCGGUCGCCUCCCAAAAAGUAACGGAGGCGCCCAAAGGUUCCCUCAGAAUGGUUGGACAUCAUUCAAAGAGCGUAAAGGUAUAAGGGAGCUUGACUGCGAGACCAACAAGUCGAGCAGAUACGAAAGUAGGGCUUAGUGAUCAGACGAUUCAGUAUGGAAUGGUCGUCGCUUAACGGAUAAAAGUUACCCUGGGGAUAACAGGCUGAUACCACCCAAUAGUUCACAUAGACGGUGGUGUUUGGCACCUCGAUGUCGGCUCGUCACAUCCUGGGGCUGGAGAAGGUCCCAAGGGUUGGGCUGUUCGCCCAUUAAAGUGGCACGCGAGCUGGGUUCAGAACGUCGUGAGACAGUUCGGUCCCUAUCCGAUGUGGGCGUAGGAAAAUUGAAGAGAGCUAUCCUUAGUACGAGAGGACCGGGAUGGACAUACCUCUGGUGUAUCUGUUGUAGCGCCAGCUGCAGUGCAGAGUAGCUAUGUAUGGAAAGGAUAACCGCUGAAAGCAUCUAAGCGGGAAGCCUCCUUUGAGAUGAGUUUUCCCAUAUUUUAUAUAGUAAGAUCCCUUGAAGACUACAAGGUUGAUAGGCUGGAGAUGGAAGAAUGGCGACAUUUUGAGUUGACCAGUACUAAUAGAUCGAGGAUUUAAUCC